AGGUGUCCUUCCUUCAGAUGAGAUUUCACAGCGAUAUCGUGUGGAAAUAUACGGUAUGAUCUCACAGCAGAGAAAUCGCAUCACUACUGAUGGAUGCCGAAUUCUGGAGGGCGUAGUGGAAUAUUUGUAAAAGGAUGUGCAAAUGGAACUCUACCUCGAGGAACUCUGGGA
Long non-coding RNA from Priapulus caudatus, 171 nucleotides. RefSeq lists it as uncharacterized. Lineage: Eukaryota; Metazoa; Priapulida; Priapulimorpha; Priapulimorphida; Priapulidae. The transcript is spliced from 3 exons. The record is from RefSeq and is a predicted model, not a curated record.